GGGGAAUAUUGCGCAAUGGGGGAAACCCUGACGCAGCGACGCCGUGUGAGGGAAGAAGGCUUUCGGGUCGUAAACCUCUGUCGGGAAGGAAGAACCCCCCAGGUCCGAAUAGGGCCUGGGGCUGACGGUACUUCCAAAGGAAGCACCGGCUAACUCCGUGCCAGCAGCCGCGGUAAUACGGAGGAUCCGAGCGUUAUCCGGAUUUAUUGGGUUUAAAGGGUGCUCAGGCGGGGGAUUAAGUCGGCGGUGAAAUUUUGCGGCUCAACCGUAAAAGUGCCUUCGAAACUGGUUUCCUUGAGUGUGGAUGAGGUAGGCGGAAUUUGUGGUGUAGCGGUGAAAUGCAUAGAUAUCACGAGGAACUCCGAUUGCGCAGGCAGCUUACUAAGCCAUAACUGACGCUCAAGCACGAAGGCGUGGGGAUCAAACA
This 427-nucleotide ribosomal RNA is filed under the name uncultured Proteiniphilum sp. RNAcentral describes it as "bacterial SSU rRNA". It matches the Rfam family "Bacterial small subunit ribosomal RNA", at positions 356 to 774 of the family's 1533-position model. Lineage: Bacteria; Pseudomonadati; Bacteroidota; Bacteroidia; Bacteroidales; Dysgonomonadaceae. The record is from RNAcentral.